Molecule: ribosomal RNA, 253 nt
Filed under: uncultured bacterium
Lineage: Bacteria
Description: partial 16S ribosomal RNA
Rfam family: Bacterial small subunit ribosomal RNA
Source: RNAcentral
UACGGGGGGGGCAAGCGUUGUUCGGAAUUACUGGGCGUAAAGGGCUCGUAGGUGGCCAACUAAGUCAGACGUGAAAUCCCUCGGCUUAACCGGGGAACUGCGUCUGAUACUGGAUGGCUUGAGUUCGGGAGAGGGAUGCGGAAUUCCAGGUGUAGCGGUGAAAUGCGUAGAUAUCUGGAGGAACACCGGUGGCGAAGGCGGCAUCCUGGACCAACACUGACGCUGAUGAGCGAAAGCCAGGGGAGCAAACGGG